AUGAGUGAGUCGUGCGAGUGCCUUACUUUUAAAAUGCCAUUGCUUGAGAAACAAGAAAACGGCGAGCAAGUGCUGGUGAAAAAUGAAACCUAUCUUCAAAUUUUAAAAAACAAAGAUCAACGGAGGAGACUUGUACAUGAAAUCUGCACCUUUUUGGACAGCAGCCAGUCUGUGCAGGAGAUUGAUGCCCUGAGAACGGAAAACAGGAAGCUAAAAAAUGCGAACUCAAGACUGCGUUAUAAAACAAAAGAUUGGGCCCUCAAGAAAGAAGAAUAUGAAAACGAGAUUGAAAGACUUUCGGGUGAGAUAUCUAAUUAUUUGAAUGUCACCAAUUUCUGGUAUGAAGAGUCUGAACUUCUCAACAACCAAGAUAAACGAACCUUAAGUGAACAAAGAAAACAUGUCAGCACUCAGACGGAGGCUAUGUUUGGAAUGGAGAAGCGGACUGUUGAAACUCAGACUGGAGAAGAUUUCUCAAGCUAUGUUCUUGAAGAGUCAUUAUCACAGGAUGAGUUUGAGUAGCAGAAAUCCCGCAUAACCUGAGAAAUGGGGAGCUUUUAUGGUUAAUAUUUUAAAUUUUAUUGAACAUAUUAACAUAUUUAUAGCUAUUUAACUCUAUGACAAAUAAAGAUAUUUUAAUUCUGCUGUGUUUUGAUUAG
Molecule: long non-coding RNA, 659 nt
Filed under: Pogona vitticeps (central bearded dragon)
Lineage: Eukaryota; Metazoa; Chordata; Lepidosauria; Squamata; Agamidae
Description: lncRNA (ENSPVIG00000016286.1)
Source: RNAcentral